UACGGAGGUGGCAAGCGUUGCUCGGAAUCACUGGGCGUAAAGGGCGCGUAGGCGGGGAGGUAAGUCGGGUGUGAAAUCCCUCGGCCCAACCGAGGAACUGCGCCCGAGACUGCUUCUCUUGAGUCUCGGAGAGGAAGGUGGAAUUCCCGGUGUAGCGGUGAAAUGUGUAGAGAUCGGGAGGAACACCGGUGGCGAAGGCGGCCUUCUGGACGGUGACUGACGCUGAGGCGCGAAAGCGUGGGGAGCAAACGGG
RNAcentral lists this ribosomal RNA (253 nucleotides) under uncultured bacterium. RNAcentral describes it as "partial 16S ribosomal RNA". It matches the Rfam family "Bacterial small subunit ribosomal RNA", at positions 524 to 776 of the family's 1533-position model. The record is from RNAcentral.